Long non-coding RNA from Thalassophryne amazonica, 216 nucleotides. RefSeq lists it as uncharacterized. Lineage: Eukaryota; Metazoa; Chordata; Actinopteri; Batrachoidiformes; Batrachoididae. The record is from RefSeq and is a predicted model, not a curated record. The transcript is spliced from 3 exons.
UGUAAUGUGGUCACAUUUUACUGUUACUGAGACCUAUGUCAUUUGGAAAUCAUAGCAAUUAGUGAGAAAUGUUGAUUUUUACAAGUUCAAACUGUAUGAUUUGCAAAUAAAGUGUGUUUAUCAUCUGUAUGUAUUUACAUUCAGUUUCUUUUGGUGGCCAGUUUGAAAAUUGCAUGUCAUGCCUACCUAAUUUGCAUAUUCAACUGGUGUCCACCC